Molecule: long non-coding RNA, 609 nt
Organism: Xenopus tropicalis (tropical clawed frog)
Lineage: Eukaryota; Metazoa; Chordata; Amphibia; Anura; Pipidae
Exons: 2
Source: RefSeq, a predicted model, not a curated record
UAAGGUUUAGGCUUAUGCCACAUGUGGCAGAUUUUUGGCCUGUGGAUAAACGCAUAAAAGCCAUAUAAAACACUGAGUGGUCAGUAGAAUACCCAUUUACAUAUGUUCCCAGUUCAUUCAUACCUCUCAUAUUGCUUUUGUUUCUUUUUACAGCUUCUACAAUAGAAAAGGAUACAGUUGCCAAACUACCUUUCCUUAACCAUCUGUACACUCCCAAAACAAAAACAUGCAAAACAAUGCAAAGUAUGCAGACACCAAAGUAAGAUGUUUUUGAAUGAUGUUCAUCACUCUAAGUCCAUUGAAAUCAGUUUAAACAAUGUUACAGAAAAUAGCAAGUGGCUUUCCUGCACCCCAGUCCUGGAACAACAUGCCUGAAAACACCUGAAUAACCUCUUCCCUUCAAAAAGUCUGUAACAGCACUACCCCAUCGCAUGUACAGGCAUGACAGAGAUUUCACUUGUGAAUGACAAGCAGAAUUUGCAGCUGCAUGUCAGAAUUACAACCAUUACUUGGGGCGUCCAUAACAUUUUCUGCAUGGUUCUCUCUGUGUCAAAUAUUUCAGACUUACAUUCUGUAAAAUAAAGGACAAAUAAAAAAUAGCUAUGUAAA